GACGGAGGGUGCAAGCGUUGUUCGGAUUGACUGGGCGUAAAGGGCGUGUAGGCGGUCUGUUGCGUCCGCUGUGAAAACUCGGGGCUUAACCCCGAGCCUGCAGUGGAUACGGGCAGACUAGAGGUAGGUAGGGGAGAAUGGAAUUCCCGGUGUAGCGGUGAAAUGCGCAGAUAUCGGGAGGAACACCGGUGGCGAAGGCGGUUCUCUGGGCCUUACCUGACGCUGAGGAGCGAAAGCGUGGGGAGCGAACAGG
RNAcentral lists this ribosomal RNA (253 nucleotides) under uncultured bacterium. Its description in RNAcentral is "partial 16S ribosomal RNA". It matches the Rfam family "Bacterial small subunit ribosomal RNA", at positions 524 to 776 of the family's 1533-position model. The record is from RNAcentral.